UGCUUUUUGUCCGCAAUUCGCUUUUUGUCCGUUUUUGCUUUUUGUCCGAUAAUUUUGCUUUUUGUCCGACACUUUUGCUUUUUGUCCGUUGCUUUUUGUCCGUUUUGCUUUUUGUCCGAUUAUUUUGCUUUUUGUCCGACACUUUUGCUUUUUGUCCGUUGCUUUUUGUCCGUUUUGCUUUUUGUCCGAUUAUUUUGCUUUUUGUCCGACACUUUUGCUUUUUUGGCCAGUGAAUCUAAUGGCGAAUGGUCACUAUGUCUAAUGGCAAAUGGUCACUAUGUCGCUAAUGGCAAAUGGUCACUAUGUCCAAUGGCAAAUGGCCCGUGAAUCUGAUGGCAAAUGGUCACCAUGUCUAAUGGCGAAUUGCCAGUGAAUCUAAUGGCAAAUUGUCACUAUGUCUAAUGGCAAUUGGUCACCAAGUCUUGUGGCAA
RNAcentral lists this long non-coding RNA (431 nucleotides) under Mytilus galloprovincialis (Mediterranean mussel). The record is from RNAcentral. Lineage: Eukaryota; Metazoa; Mollusca; Bivalvia; Mytilida; Mytilidae.